UUUAAAGAGAGUUUGAUCCUGGCUCAGGACGAACGCUGGCGGCGUGCCUAAUACAUGCAAGUCGAACGAACGGAGGAAGAGCUUGCUCUUCCAAAGUUAGUGGCGGACGGGUGAGUAACACGUGGGCAACCUGCCUGUAAGUUGGGGAUAACUCCGGGAAACCGGGGCUAAUACCGAAUGAUAAAGUGUGGCGCAUGCCACGCUUUUGAAAGAUGGUUUCGG
RNAcentral lists this ribosomal RNA (222 nucleotides) under Listeria monocytogenes. RNAcentral's name for it is "partial 16S ribosomal RNA". It matches the Rfam family "Bacterial small subunit ribosomal RNA", at positions 1 to 217 of the family's 1533-position model. The record is from RNAcentral. Lineage: Bacteria; Bacillati; Bacillota; Bacilli; Caryophanales; Listeriaceae.